AGCGAACGCUGGCGGCAGGCUUAACACAUGCAAGUCGAGCGGGCACUCUCGGGUGUCAGCGGCGGACGGGUGGGUAACGCCUGGGAACGUGCCCUCUGGUUCGGAAUAACUCAGGGAAACUUGAGCUAAUACCGGAUACGCCCUUUUGGGGAAAGGCUUUCUGCCGGAGGAUCGGCCAGCGUCUGAUUAGCUUGCUGGUGCGGUAACGGCUCUCCACGGCGACGAUGAGUAGCCGACCUGAGAGGGUGAUCCGCGACACUGGGACUGAGACACGGUCCAGACUCCUAGGGGAGGCAGCAGGCGGGAAUCUCCCGCAACGGGCGAAGGGGUGACGGAGCAACGCCGGGUGAGUGAUGAAGGCCUUCGGAUCGUAAAACUCUGUUAUGAGGGAGGAACAUAAGUGUAUGUAACCGGGCACAUCUUGACGGUACCUGAUGAGAAAGCCCCGGCUAACUACGUG
Molecule: ribosomal RNA, 460 nt
Filed under: uncultured bacterium
Lineage: Bacteria
Description: partial 16S ribosomal RNA
Rfam family: Bacterial small subunit ribosomal RNA
Source: RNAcentral